RNAcentral lists this ribosomal RNA (253 nucleotides) under uncultured bacterium. RNAcentral describes it as "partial 16S ribosomal RNA". It matches the Rfam family "Bacterial small subunit ribosomal RNA", at positions 524 to 776 of the family's 1533-position model. The record is from RNAcentral.
UACGGGGGGUGCAAGCGUUAUCCGGAUUCACUGGGUUUAAAGGGUGCGUAGGUGGGCUAGUAAGUCCGUGGUGAAAUCCCUGAGCUUAACUUGGGAACUGCCAUUGAUACUAUUAGUCUUGAAUAUCGUGGAGGUAAGCGGAAUAUGUCAUGUAGCGGUGAAAUGCUUAGAUAUGACAUAGAACACCAAUUGCGAAGGCAGCUUGCUACACGGUCAUUGACACUGAGGCACGAAAGCGUGGGGAGCAAACAGG